RNAcentral lists this ribosomal RNA (119 nucleotides) under Eutrema salsugineum. Lineage: Eukaryota; Viridiplantae; Streptophyta; Magnoliopsida; Brassicales; Brassicaceae. The record is from RNAcentral.
UUUCCCAAAGUUACCUGAAAAGAGUCUUGGGUUCCCAUCAGAACUCCGCAGUUAAGCGUGCUUGGGCGGGAGUAGUACUAGGAUGGGUGACCUCCCGGGAAGUCCUCGUGUUGCAAAAU